AGGUCACUAAGCCCUAUAUAGAUGAUGAUGGUCACUGAACUCCCACACUGAAAGUGCUUCUCUGUCUUCAUUGCUAAAAAGAUGGUUUCAACUUCUCCUCCUCCAAAGCAGCAGGAAGCUCUUUCAGACAACAAAUGGAAGGAGGAGGCAGACAACACACGCCGCGCCAAAUGGUGGUACUCCACCUUCCACACCGUCACCGCCAUGAUAGGUGCCGGUGUCCUCAGCCUACCAUAUGCCAUGGCCUACUUAGGAUGGGGUCCGGGGACAAUGGUACUGGCAGUUUCUUGGUGCAUGACCUUGAACACAAUGUGGCAGAUGAUACAACUCCAUGAAUGUGUUCCAGGGGUUCGCCUUGAUCGGUACAUAGACCUCGGUCGACAUGCCUUCGGUCCUAAACUCGGGCCAUGGAUCGUGCUUCCACAGCAGCUAAUCGUCCAAAUUGGGUGUGACAUAGUGUACAUGGUCACUGGGGGAAAGUGUCUGAAGCAGUUCAUGGAGAUGGCGUGCUCUAGUUGCACACCAAUCAAGCAAUCCUACUGGAUUUUGAUGUUUGGUUCCAUUCAUUUCUUCCUUUCCCAGCUUCCCAACUUCAACUCUGUCGCUGGUGUUUCGCUAGCAGCAGCUAUCAUGUCACUAAGUUAUUCCACAAUAGCUUGGGCAGGUUGCUUAAGUAAAGGCCCGGUAGAUAAUGUUAGCUAUGCAUACAAGAAAACAAGCUCAGUUGAUUACAUGUUCCGGGUGUUCAAUUCACUUGGUCAAAUCUCGUUUGCAUUUGCCGGACAUGCUGUGGCUCUUGAAAUUCAGGCAACAAUGCCAUCAACUCCGGAGAGGCCUUCACGAAUACCGAUGUGGAAAGGUGCCGUUGGAGCCUAUAUUAUUAAUGCAAUUUGCUAUUUCCCGGUGGCCCUGAUCGGUUACUGGGCUUUUGGGCAAGAUGUUGCUGAUAAUGUCCUAGUGGACCUCAAGAGACCUGCUUGGCUAAGUGCAUCUGCAAAUUUAAUGGUUGUUGUCCAUGUUAUUGGCAGCUAUCAGGUUUUUGCUAUGCCGGUUUUUGACUUGUUAGAGAGGAUGAUGAUGAAAAAACUGAACUUCCCACCUGGAGUGGCACUUAGACUAGUUGCUAGAUCAGCUUAUGUUGCAUUCACAUUGUUUGUUGGAGUCACCUUCCCUUUCUUUGGAGACCUUCUUGGUUUCUUCGGCGGGUUUGGUUUCGCCCCAACUUCAUACUUUCUUCCUAGUAUAAUGUGGCUAGCUAUCAAGAAACCGAAGAGAUUCAGCACCAAUUGGUUCGUCAACUGGGCUUCCAUAUUUGUUGGAGUGUUCAUUAUGUUAGCAUCCACCAUUGGUGGUUCAGGAACAUCGUCACUGACGCAUCCACAUAUCGUUUCUACACUUAAAUUAUAACCAAAUUAUGUCAUUGAUUGGACCAAAGUACCAAACUCAUAUACUAUCAAACUAGUACUUGGUUAUACCAAAAUACCAAGGACUUGGUUAUUUGAUGCUGCCACUUGAAUUGUGUGGAUCCUGUCUACACCAAUCUACCAAGUAGUUCUUCUGCAUUUUCAGUUUGUAUCAUGUUCCUUUGCUGGAGCAAAAGCAGUGAAAGGAGUAUUUUAAUUAGCUUUUUUAUUUUUGAGUUGAAAAUGUCGUCUAAUAUGAAAUUCAAUAAGCAGUGCAAUGAUAGCAUGUAUGUUAAGACCGUC
Fragaria vesca subsp. vesca is the source of this 1706-nucleotide RNA transcript. It is a transcript of the gene named lysine histidine transporter-like 6-like, with no coding region annotated. The record is from RefSeq and is a predicted model, not a curated record. NCBI's taxonomy places the organism in Eukaryota, Viridiplantae, Streptophyta, Magnoliopsida, Rosales, Rosaceae. The transcript has 8 exons.